AUUGAACGCUGGCGGCAUGCUUUACACAUGCAAGUCGAACGGCAGCGCGGGCUUCGGCCUGGCGGCGAGUGGCGAACGGGUGAGUAAUACAUCGGAACGUGCCCAGUAGUGGGGGAUAGCUCGGCGAAAGCCGGAUUAAUACCGCAUACGACCUGAGGGUGAAAGCGGGGGAUCUUCGGACCUCGCGCUAUUGGGGCGGCCGAUGGCAGAUUAGCUAGUUGGUGGGGUAAAGGCCUACCAAGGCGACGAUCUGUAGCUGGUCUGAGAGGACGACCAGCCACACUGGGACUGAGACACGGCCCAGACUCCUACGGGAGGCAGCAGUGGGGAAUUUUGGGCAAUGGGCGAAAGCCUGAUCCAGCAAUGCCGCGUGUGUGAUGAAGGCCUUCGGGUUGUAAAGCACUUUUGGCGGGAACGAAAAGGACUGUGCCAAUACCACGGUUCGAUGACGGUACCCGCAGAAUAAGCACCGGCUAACUACGUG
RNAcentral lists this ribosomal RNA (484 nucleotides) under uncultured bacterium. RNAcentral describes it as "partial 16S ribosomal RNA". It matches the Rfam family "Bacterial small subunit ribosomal RNA", at positions 29 to 507 of the family's 1533-position model. The record is from RNAcentral.